Molecule: long non-coding RNA, 1781 nt
Filed under: Lynx pardinus (Iberian lynx)
Lineage: Eukaryota; Metazoa; Chordata; Mammalia; Carnivora; Felidae
Source: RNAcentral
GCCAAGGGUGCUGACAGCCAGGGGCUGGUGGGGCACAGCUUGGGCUCCGGGUCUCUGGCCUCCGGUUCCCAGCACAGGGCGGAGGCGCGCUUUGCAGGGACAUUUGCAAGAAUGGCGGUGAGAAGAGAGACAGAGAUGAAUCUUGCUUCCCCCCUCCCCCCACCCUCCCACUGCUUGCCUUCGAAGAUUUAAGCAUGUGUUUGCAGUUUCAAAGCUGAUGCCUGCUGGCUGCGAGGUAUUUUAUUGUAUUAUAUUUUGCUAGAUUUUUAUCGAUUAAAAAAGGUUUUUUUUAAUGUUUGUUUAUUGUUGAGAGAGAGGGAGCAGGAGGGGGCAGGGCAGGGUGGUGGUGGGGGGGGGACGGAGGAUACGAAGCAGGCCUUGCACUGACAGCACACAGCCCGAGGGGGGGCUCAAACUCAACUAAUGGGAGAUCAUGACCUGAGCCGAGGUCCAAAGCCCGACCCACUGAGCCACCCAGGUGCCCCUACAAGUUAUUUUAAAAGGAGUGGGGUGUUGGAGCACCUGGGUGGCUCAGUCAGUUAAGUGUCCCACUCUUGGUUUAGGCUCAGGUCAUGAUCUCACAGUUUGUGAGAUUGAGCCCUGUGUCGGGCCCUGUGCUGACAGUGUGGAGCCUGCUUGGGAUUCUCUCUCCCUCUCUCUCUGCCCCACCCCCACUCCUGCUCUCUCUCUCUUUCAAAAUAAAUACAUAAGUAAACUGAAAAAAAUAAAAGGGGUGGGGGUGCCGGGAUGCACUGGCAGGGAAAGGAGGAGGGGAGCAGGAGAAGGGGGAAAGGGCAGGGAACCGCAUGAGGACCAGAAUCCCGGCUCCUUCCCACUUCCGCUGCCCCUGCGGUUGUCCUCCCUGCCUUCACUCUUACUGUCCGGAAGCUACAGGAACCAAGAACCGUGCUGGCUCAGAACGACGCAACGCUCAUGGUUCUGGAAGCCAGAAGUCCAAAAUCUGUAUCACCGGGCUAAAGUCAAGGUGUGGGAGGGUCACACUCCCUCGGGAGGCCCUGGGGACAGUCCAUUCCCUACAUCUUCCAGCUCCUGGUGGCUGCUGUCCCUUGGCUCAUGGCGCAUCGCUCUGGCCUCUGCCUGGGAGGUCACGCGGCCUUCUUCCAUUCCGCCUGGGCCAAGUCCCCCUCCGCCUCCCUCUCACAAGGGUACCUGUGACUGCGUUUUGGGCCCACUUGGAUGAUCCAAGCUAAUCUCCCUACCUCAACACCCUUAAUUUAGUCACAUCUGGAAAGUCCUCUGGUGGCCAGGUAGGGUGACACUCACAGGUUGCAGGGAUUAGUCUGUGGACAUCUUUUCGAGGCCUUUAAUUAGUCUUUCUCACCCUUGCUCCUCCAGCCUGCUGGCUUUCUGCUGUUCCUCAAACACAGCACCCCUUCCCUCCUCAAGGCCUGGCCUCUUUUCCUGCUGCCUGGAUCACUCUUCCCUGGAAUCUUGGCUUCUUCUCAUUCUUCGGGUCUUGGCUCCAAUGUCAGCUCUGUGGAGAGAACUUCCUUAGUCGGCCCCUGUGCCUGGCACACAGUAGGUGCUCAACACAAAGAUGUUGAAUAAAAGCAAUGGAGAGAAACCCCGUUCUGAGCACCUGAGUCCUGAAGGGGAAACCUGUCUUCCGGAGCCUUGGAACAUUCCCUGAGCCUUCCCCAGAGGCCCCUGGGGACUGAGUGGUGGGGGCAGCGGACACUGUGGGCACAAUUCACCCACCAGGGGCAUUGGGCAAGGCACCUGGCCCUUCUGCACCCCAGCAUAAUAAAAAUACGAGUGAG